AAUAGUGUAGCUCAGAUGGCAGAGCAUUUGCUAAGCAUGCGAGAGGUUCGGGGAUCUAUACCCCCGCGCUUUCA
Non-coding RNA from Trichonephila clavipes, 74 nucleotides. The record is from the annotation of a GenBank genome assembly. Lineage: Eukaryota; Metazoa; Arthropoda; Arachnida; Araneae; Nephilidae.